GUGAUGGCUAAGCCCCUCCCUGGUCAGGGUCAGAUGACCUGGAGGUUGGCGCGCUGACCGAACAAUGCCUAAGUUUGUGACGCAACCCCACCCAGAAGACUAUAAAUAGGGCGGCGCAGUGGGCCAGGGCCAGACCGCUGGACAGAGCCACGAUGGAAGAGGCAAGCUCCCAACAACAAGCUGCAAGCACCAACGAGGACAGGGAGAGGGAGGCCCCCUCAGCCCACGUCCAGGUGCCUCGACAAGGGCCCAAAGGCAGGCAGACGGGGGAAAAGGCCUGGUUGGCACUGAGCACUGAACACAACUGUUCCUUAACGCUGUCUCCACAGUACGAUGAAAAAGGCCUGGUGAUUUGGCAUGCGUUUGCAGGGAUGGGGAUGGAGCAACCCGGAUGGGCUAAGGUAUGUGGGAUGACAGUGCCAUCCCUCUGUACACUCAGAGAAAUGCAUCAUCUUUAGGCCACUGACCUCAUAGUGGUGUGUGUGACGUUCAUUUACGUCGGCGGGUUAUGUGACGUCCCGCUUCACGUUGUGAGCCAUUAAAAGGCCUCAAAAGGACCGAAUCCCUCCCCCUUACUCAGAGUGAGUGAGGACACCAAGGAGCAAAGGAAUGGUAUUUGUAGGCUACAGACUCAAAGGUUUAGGGCGCUUUCUUUGUCAAGCUAACUUGAGCUGGAACAGUUGGCUAUGAAGGCCAUGGCAGUGGGAGUGGUUUGUCCCUUGUGCAUUGAGGGGAAUGUUACAAUGUAAUUCUUGUACACCAUCAAAGGAAGGGUCUGGCAGUUGGCUUGGAAAUUAAGAAGUCCCUGAGUCUUGGAGUGUCUGAGUUCAGCACCCAGCUCUUGAUCCCGAUUGCAGCUUCCUGCCAAUGCAGACCCUGGGAGUCAGGGCUGAUGACUUAGGAACUGGGGGCCCUUUCCUCCCACAUGGGACGUCUGAACUGAGUCCCCCAGCACAGGCUUUGGCUGCAGCUGGGGACGUUGUGACCAUUUGGGGAGUGAAUCAGCAUAUGGAAAUGCUCUAUCUUCCUCUUUUUCUCUGUCUCAUUCUCUCCUUCUCUCCCUCCCUAAACUAAAUUAAUAAAAAGAAAAAGAAAAAAAAACA
RNAcentral lists this long non-coding RNA (1103 nucleotides) under Oryctolagus cuniculus (rabbit). Its description in RNAcentral is "lncRNA (ENSOCUG00000031525.1)". The record is from RNAcentral. Lineage: Eukaryota; Metazoa; Chordata; Mammalia; Lagomorpha; Leporidae.